AUGGACGUAAAAAAAAAUGACGGUGCGGCUAUACAGCUUAGUGAACUAUUUAUAGCAGACACAAAUGGCCAAGUCCAUUCGAAUGACAAAAACUUGAACAAUUUACCCAAAAGAGGAGAACCUAUACAAACAUCUCAAAGUAUAUUAAAUAAAUACAAACUACUCAAAUGCACUGAAAAAUAUAAUUUGGACGACAAACAAAAUGGGGAUGUUUGCGUUGAAAAGGGAAUUGAAGAAAAACAUGAAGAAAGUAAUAACGACGAGUUUAGUGGUAAAAAUAAAAAAACAACAAAACAAAAUACGUCAAAAAAUACGUCAAAAAAUGAGCCUGACAAUGUGCCUGACAAUAUGCCCAAAAAUGACAUGAUAAAAACAAAACAAUAUAAAAAAUCGAACUUACUUUUAGCUAAUGGUACUAUAGGGUUAAUCGUACACAAUGGAAUAAUGUGCAUAUCCCAUAAAGGUCCACAAAUAUUUAUUGUUGCAAAUACGAAAAAGUCUUAUUGUAUAUAUGAUCCCCAUAAAUUAAGAAAAACCUAUGCAUCCAAUUAUUUUUCUGGAAACAUACAAAACAUAAUUAGUGCUAAAGGUUAUUUAUAUAUUGUGUUUAAAAAUAAAGUAUAUAAAGUGAAUGAUAUUGAAAAAAGAAAAAUUUUUUUUUCAAAUGAUUGUAAAGAUACUAUUAUUAACAUUUUAAUCGUUUCUGAUUAUUUAUUAACGUAUAGCAAAAAAGAAAUAGUUAUUUGGAAUGAUAUCGACGAUGACCAGUUCUUUAAUUCCAGUUCGUCAUGUGACGAUUCAUCAAGCAGUUCGUCAUUUGAUGAGUCAUCUUUAGAUAGUCCACCCUCACACGAUUGCACCAAAGUGGAGACUACUUACCUGUCAGAUAAAACCUUAUCAGUCAACUCUUCAGAAUCUAGAAAAAACGUAAAAAAGAAAACAAAACCGAAACAUAUUAAAAUAAGAAACAAAAACCUAAAUAACCAAUACCUACUAAAACGGAUACUGCUAUUCGAUAAUAAUUCCAAUAUUGAAAUUAAACAUAUUUUACACCCAGCUGAAUAUAUUAACAAAGUAUUAAUUUUAACCAACGAAAAUAAAUUAUAUUUAUAUAACAUAAACAAAGAAAAAAUAAUUCAUGAGUAUGAAUCGAUAAAUAACAUAAAUACAAAAGCAGAUAUAUGUUUACUAUCUAAAACUUUAAAAAAUGAAGAAAUUUGCUUUAUAACAUCAGAUAAUAAAAUACAUAUAAUAGAUAUAAAAAAGGAUGAGAUACUAUAUUUAAAGAAUAUUUACAUGGUGGAUGAUAAAAUCACUUGUGUACAUUUUUUUUAUUAUGAAUGCGAUGGAAAUAGUUACAACAUAAUAUUGUUAGGUACUAAAAACGGUAAACUUUUAAUGCUUAAUACAAAAAAUAAUAUACAAUAUUAUGUUUUAAAAAAUGUACACAAUAAAGAUGUAAAAACUAUUUUAAUAUCGGCACAAGGAUAUAUAUAUACAGCUGGUUAUGAUAAUAAAAUAAAUUUAAUACGUUUAAAUAAAAACACAUUUACAUUAGAUAUAAUAAAAAUGAGAAAUAGUUGUAAUGGUGUUAUUAAUAAUAUAAAAUAUUUGAAUAAUGAGCAUUUUAAAUUAAUAGUAUCUGGAAAUACAAGCGAUAAACAUUUGGGUAGUAACUUAUCUAUUAUUAGCCCUCAUAAUCCUGAACAAAAUACAAAUUUUGCUUGGGAUCAUAAAAUCAAUAUUAUAAAUAAAACAAUCAUCGAUUUUGAUAUUAAUUCGAAUAGACAUUAUGACUGGAAUAAUAUUUUAGUUUGUUUUGAAAACUCACAUCGUGUAUAUUUAGCUUCAUCUUAUAAAAAAAAAAUUUCAGCUCAUUAUUUAUCAUUGCCUUUUACACACAAUGAUAAUGCAUAUCAAAAAAAAAAAAAAACAAAAAAAAUGAUGAUGAUGAUGAUGAUGAUGAUAAUGAUGUUGCCACAGGGGUAG
Long non-coding RNA from Piliocolobus tephrosceles (Ugandan red Colobus), 1989 nucleotides. Lineage: Eukaryota; Metazoa; Chordata; Mammalia; Primates; Cercopithecidae. The record is from Ensembl.